GACGAACGCUGGCGGCGUGCUUAACACAUGCAAGUCGAGCGAGACCCAUCUUUCGGGGUGGUGUUCUAGCGGCGAACGGGUGAGUAACACGUGGGCAACCUGCCCUCAGCUCUGGGAUAACUCCAAGAAAUUGGGGCUAAUACCGGAUAUGACCGCUGACCGCAUGGUCUGGUGGUGGAAAGAUUUAUCGGCUGGGGAUGGGCCCGCGGCCUAUCAGCUUGUUGGGNGGGUAGGUGGCCUACCAAGGCGACGACGGGUAGCCGGCCUGAGAGGGUGACCGGCCACACUGGGACUGAGACACGGCCCAGACUCCUACGGGAGGCAGCAGUGGGGAAUAUUGCGCAAUGGGCGGAAGCCUGACGCAGCGACGCCGC
RNAcentral lists this ribosomal RNA (374 nucleotides) under uncultured bacterium. RNAcentral's name for it is "bacterial SSU rRNA". It matches the Rfam family "Bacterial small subunit ribosomal RNA", at positions 28 to 400 of the family's 1533-position model. The record is from RNAcentral.